CCCUUAGAUGUUCUGGGCCGCACGCGCGCUACACUGUUCGACGCAGCGAGUCUUAACCUUGACCGAAAGGUUUGGGUAAUCUUCAGCAAAGUCGAACGUGAUGGGGAUCGAUCAUUGCAAUUAUUGAUCGUGAACGAGGAAUUCCUAGUAAGCGCGAGUCAUCAGCUCGUGCUGAUUACGUCCCUGCCCUUUGUACACACCGCCCGUCGCUGCAACUGAUUGGGUGACCUGGUGAACAUCUUGGACCGGUCCACUCAAUUUCGAGAGGACUGGAAAAGGCCGUAAAUCAGGUACAUCUAGAAAUUGCAAAAGUCGUAACA
Molecule: ribosomal RNA, 320 nt
Filed under: uncultured eukaryote
Lineage: Eukaryota
Description: partial 18S ribosomal RNA
Rfam family: Eukaryotic small subunit ribosomal RNA
Source: RNAcentral